This 490-nucleotide ribosomal RNA is filed under the name uncultured bacterium. RNAcentral describes it as "partial 16S ribosomal RNA". It matches the Rfam family "Bacterial small subunit ribosomal RNA", at positions 30 to 507 of the family's 1533-position model. The record is from RNAcentral.
AUUGAACGCUGGCGGCAUGCUUUACACAUGCAAGUCGAACGGCAGCGGGGUAGUGCUUGCACUACUGCCGGCGAGUGGCGAACGGGUGAGUAAUAUAUCGGAACGUACCGAGUAAUGGGGGAUAACCAAUCGAAAGAUUGGCUAAUACCGCAUACGUCCUGAGGGAGAAAGCGGGGGAUCGCAAGACCUCGCGUUAUUCGAGCGGCCGAUAACUGAUUAGCUAGUUGGUGGGGUAAAGGCCUACCAAGGCGACGAUCAGUAGCGGGUCUGAGAGGACGAUCCGCCACACUGGGACUGAGACACGGCCCAGACUCCUACGGGAGGCAGCAGUGGGGAAUUUUGGACAAUGGGGGCAACCCUGAUCCAGCCAUGCCGCGUGUAUGAAGAAGGCCUUCGGGUUGUAAAGUACUUUUGUUAGGGAAGAAAAGGGAAGUGCUAAUACCACUUUUUGCUGACGGUACCUAAAGAAUAAGCACCGGCUAACUACAUG